RNAcentral lists this ribosomal RNA (404 nucleotides) under uncultured bacterium. RNAcentral describes it as "bacterial SSU rRNA". It matches the Rfam family "Bacterial small subunit ribosomal RNA", at positions 11 to 414 of the family's 1533-position model. The record is from RNAcentral.
GUUUGAUCCUGGCUCAGAUUGAACGCUGGCGGCAUGCCUUACACAUGCAAGUCGAACGGCAGCACGGACUUCGGUCUGGUGGCGAGUGGCGAACGGGUGAGUAAUGUAUCGGAACGUACCUUUCAGUGGGGGAUAACGUAGCGAAAGUUACGCUAAUACCGCAUAUUCUGUGAGCAGGAAAGCAGGGGAUCGCAAGACCUUGCGCUGAUUGAGCGGCCGAUAUCAGAUUAGCUAGUUGGUGGGGUAAAGGCCUACCAAGGCGACGAUCUGUAGCGGGUCUGAGAGGAUGAUCCGCCACACUGGAACUGAGACACGGUCCAGACUCCUACGGGAGGCAGCAGUGGGGAAUUUUGGGACAAGUGGGGGCAACCCUGAUCCAGCCAUCGCCGCGUGAGUGAAGAAGG